This 542-nucleotide ribosomal RNA is filed under the name uncultured bacterium. Its description in RNAcentral is "bacterial SSU rRNA". It matches the Rfam family "Bacterial small subunit ribosomal RNA", at positions 356 to 896 of the family's 1533-position model. The record is from RNAcentral.
GAGGAAUAUUGGUCAAUGGGCGAGAGCCUGAACCAGCCAAGUAGCGUGCAGGAAGACGGCCCUAUGGGUUGUAAACUGCUUUUAUGUGGGGAUAAAGUGAGCUACGUGUAGUUUAUUGCAGGUACCACAUGAAUAAGGACCGGCUAAUUCCGUGCCAGCAGCCGCGGUAAUACGGAAGGUCCAGGCGUUAUCCGGAUUUAUUGGGUUUAAAGGGAGCGUAGGCCGUGGAUUAAGCGUGUUGUGAAGUGUAGACGCUCAACGUCUGAAUUGCAGCGCGAACUGGUUCACUUGAGUAUGCACAACGUAGGCGGAAUUCGUCGUGUAGCGGUGAAAUGCUUAGAUAUGACGAAGAACUCCGAUUGCGAAGGCAGCUUACGGGAGCACAACUGACGCUGAAGCUCGAAGGUGCGGGUAUCAAACAGGAUUAGAUACCCUGGUAGUCCGCACAGUAAACGAUGGAUGCCCGUUGUUAGUUCACUUAAGAAUUAGCGACCAAGCGAAAGCAUUAAGCAUCCCACCUGGGGAGUACGCCGGCAACGGUG